UGCCAGCAGCCGCGGUAAUACGGAGGGUGCAAGCGUCGUUCGGAACCACUGGGCGUAAAGCGCACGUAGGCGGACUUUUAAGUCAGGGGUGAAAUCCCGGAGCUCAACUCCGGAACUGCCUUUGAUACUGGAAGUCUUGAGUACGGGAGAGGAAAGUGGAAUUCCGAGUGUAGGGGUGAAAUCCGUAGAUAUUCGGAGGAACACCAGUGGCGAAGGCGGCUUUCUGGACCGAUACUGACGCUGAGGUGCGAAAGCGUGGGGAGCAAACAGGAUUAGAUA
This 279-nucleotide ribosomal RNA is filed under the name uncultured bacterium. Its description in RNAcentral is "partial 16S ribosomal RNA". It matches the Rfam family "Bacterial small subunit ribosomal RNA", at positions 506 to 784 of the family's 1533-position model. The record is from RNAcentral.